CAGCUAGUUGGUGAGGUAACGGCUCACCAAGGCUUUGAUCGGUAGCCGGUCUGAGAGGAUGGCCGGCCACACUGGAACUGAGACACGGUCCAGACUCCUACGGGAGGCAGCAGUGGGGAAUAUUGCGCAAUGGGCGAAAGCCUGACGCAGCGACGCCGCGUGGGGGAUGAAGCUUCUCGGAGUGUAAACCCCUUUCGACCCGGACGAAUGACCCGCAAGGGUUUGACGGUACGGGUAUAAGAAGCCCCGGCUAACUACGUGCCAGCAGCCGCGGUAAUACGUAGGGGGCCAGCGUUGCUCGGAAUUACUGGGCGUAAAGGGUUCGUAGGUGGUGCGGUAAGUUGGAAGUGAAAUCUCUGGGCUUAACCCAGAGGCUGCUUUCAAAACUGUCGCGCUCGAGUGCGAGAGAGGUCAGUGGAAUUGCAGGUGUAGCGGUGAAAUGCGUAGAUAUCUGCAGGAACACCCGUGGCGAAGGCGGCUGACUGGAUCGCAACUGACACUGAGGAACGAAAGCUAGGGGAGCAAACAGGAUUAGAUACCCUGGUAGUCCUAGCC
Molecule: ribosomal RNA, 555 nt
Filed under: uncultured Acidobacteriota bacterium
Lineage: Bacteria; Pseudomonadati; Acidobacteriota
Description: SSU rRNA
Rfam family: Bacterial small subunit ribosomal RNA
Source: RNAcentral